AGAAUAUUUUGGCAAACUUGUCGAAAGACAAGGACGCAAAGUUUGGAGUCUAAGGCAUUAAUUGCUAUGAUCGUUCAACUGCUGUG
This 86-nucleotide non-coding RNA is filed under the name Dethiosulfatibacter aminovorans. RNAcentral describes it as "c-di-GMP sequence". It matches the Rfam family "c-di-GMP-I riboswitch aptamer". Rfam says of the family: GEMM was predicted in a large-scale screen for bacterial structured RNA regulatory elements. Genes associated with GEMM are involved in a diverse array of functions, including chemotaxis regulation, signal transduction, secretion and chitin. RNAcentral also lists the same sequence under 1 other name. Lineage: Bacteria; Bacillati; Bacillota; Tissierellia. The record is from RNAcentral.